This 253-nucleotide ribosomal RNA is filed under the name uncultured bacterium. Its description in RNAcentral is "partial 16S ribosomal RNA". It matches the Rfam family "Bacterial small subunit ribosomal RNA", at positions 524 to 776 of the family's 1533-position model. The record is from RNAcentral.
UACGUAGGGUGCAAGCGUUGUCCGGAAUUAUUGGGCGUAAAGAGCUCGUAGGCGGUUUGUCGCGUCUGCUGUGAAAACCCGAGGCUCAACCUCGGGCCUGCAGUGGGUACGGGCAGACUAGAGUGCGGUAGGGGAGAUUGGAAUUCCCAGUGUAGAGGUGAAAUUCGUAGAUAUUGGGAAGAACACCGGUGGCGAAGGCGGCUCUCUGGACCGUAACUGACGCUGAGGCGCGAAAGCGUGGGGAGCAAACAGG